This 88-nucleotide microRNA precursor is filed under the name Cebus imitator (Panamanian white-faced capuchin). RNAcentral describes it as "miRNA (ENSCCAG00000001970.1)". Lineage: Eukaryota; Metazoa; Chordata; Mammalia; Primates; Cebidae. The record is from RNAcentral.
CAGGCAGGUAUUAAGUUGGUGCAAAAGUAAUUGUGUUUUUCCCAUUAAAAGUAAUGAGAAAAUUGGCAAUUACUUUUGCACCAACCCU